Molecule: ribosomal RNA, 520 nt
Filed under: uncultured Glomus
Lineage: Eukaryota; Fungi; Glomeromycota; Glomeromycetes; Glomerales; Glomeraceae
Description: SSU rRNA
Rfam family: Eukaryotic small subunit ribosomal RNA
Source: RNAcentral
AGCAGCCGCGGUAAUUCCAGCUCCAAUAGCGUAUAUUAAAGUUGUUGCAGUUAAAAAGCUCGUAGUUGAAUUUCGGGAUUAGUGCGCUGGUCAUGCCUUUGGUAUGUACUGGUGUUACUGGUUUCUACCUUCUGAAGAACCGUUAUGUCAUUUAUUUGGUGUGGCGGGGAAUCAGGACUGUUACUUUGAAAAAAUUAGAGUGUUUAAAGCAGGCUCGCGCUUGAAUACAUUAGCAUGGAAUAAUGAAAUAGGACGUUUGACCCUAUUUUGUUGGUUUCUAGGAUCGACGUAAUGAUUAAUAGGGAUAGUUGGGGGCAUUAGUAUUCAAUUGUCAGAGGUGAAAUUCUUGGAUUUAUUGAAGACUAACUACUGCGAAAGCAUUUGCCAAGGAUGUUUUCAUUAAUCAAGAACGAAAGUUAGGGGAUCGAAGACGAUCAGAUACCGUCGUAGUCUUAACCAUAAACUAUGCCGACUAGGGAUCGGAUGAUGUUAUUUUAAUGACUCAUUCGGCGCCUUACGG